This 654-nucleotide ribosomal RNA is filed under the name Astylosternus diadematus (Victoria night frog). RNAcentral describes it as "partial 16S ribosomal RNA". The stretch from base 1 to 450 matches the Rfam family "Bacterial large subunit ribosomal RNA", at positions 615 to 1301 of the family's 2925-position model. Lineage: Eukaryota; Metazoa; Chordata; Amphibia; Anura; Arthroleptidae. The record is from RNAcentral.
AUGGUCUAGUCUAGUUCCAAUACAAGCAAAACCCCUUACAGUUUGAACCCCCGAAACUAAGCGAGCUACUUCAAAACAGCCUUCCAGGGCCAACCCGUCUCUGUUGCAAAAGAGUGGGAAGAUUUUCAAGUAGAGGUGAUAAGCCUACCGAGCCUAGAGAUAGCUGGUUAUUCAAGAAAAGAACCUAAGUUCUGCCUUAAGCUUCAACUAACACUUAAUAGCCCAGUAAGCUUAAGAGUUACUCAAAUAAGGUUCAGCCUAUUUGACUCAGGACACAACCAACACCAAAGGGUAAUGUAGUAAACCCCAUGACCAAGUGGGCCUAAGAGCAGCCACCUUUCAAAAAGCGUUAUAGCUUCACCAUGACAACUAACCAAUUCCACACCCCCUACAAACCCCUCCCCCCAUAUUGAAUAAUUUUAUAAUUCCUAUAAUAGAUAUUAUGCUAGAACUAGUAACAAGAAACAGAAUUUCUCUUAAAUGUAAGUAUACCCCAGAAAGAACCAAUCUCUGACCCUUACUGCAAUGACACACUAAGUAGCAACCACCUCUAGAAAACCCUACUUACCUUAACAUUAACCUUACACAAGAACAUUACAAGAAAGAUUAAAACGAGGGGAAGGAACUCGGCAAAUUUUAGUCUCGCCUGUUUAC